This 459-nucleotide ribosomal RNA is filed under the name uncultured bacterium. RNAcentral's name for it is "bacterial SSU rRNA". It matches the Rfam family "Bacterial small subunit ribosomal RNA", at positions 383 to 832 of the family's 1533-position model. The record is from RNAcentral.
GUGACGAAGCGACGCCGCGUGCGGGAAGAAGGCCUUCGGGUUGUAAACCGCUGUCAGGAGUUAAGAAAUGUAAGGGUGCUAAUACCAUCCUUGCUUGACAAAGGCUCCAGAGGAAGUCACGGCUAACUCUGUGCCAGCAGCCGCGGUAAGACAGAGGUGGCAAGCGUUGUUCGGAAUCAUUGGGCGUAAAGAGCACGUAGGCGGUUUUGCAAGUCUGAUGUGAAAGCCCUUGGCUUAACCAAGGAAUUGCAUCAGAAACUACAAGACUUGAGUGCAGUAGGGGAGAGCGGAACUUCUAGUGGAGCGGUGAAAUGCGUAGAUAUUAGAAGGAACGCCGGCGGCGAAAGCGGCUCUCUAGGCUGUAACUGACGCUGAGUGUGCGAAAGCUAGGGGAGCAAACGGGAUUAGAUACCCCGGUAGUCCUAGCUGUAAACGAUGGGCACUAAGUAGAGGGGUUUU